UAUUGGACAAUGGGGGCAACCCUGAUCCAGCCAUGCCGCGUGCGUGAAGAAGGUCUUCGGAUUGUAAAGCACUUUCAGUUGGGAGGAAGGGCUUUAGGCUAAUACCCUCAAGUCUUGACGUUACCAACAGAAUAAGCACCGGCCAACUCUGUGCCAGCAGCCGCGGUAAUACAGAGGGUGCAAGCGUUAAUCGGAAUUACUGGGCGUAAAGCGCGCGUAGGUGGUUCAGUAAGAUGGGUGUGAAAUCCCCGGGCUUAACCUGGGAACUGCUUUCAUAACUGCUGAGCUAGAGUACGGUGGAGGGUAGGGGAAUUUCCUGUGUGGCGGUGAAAUGCGUAGAUAUAGGAAGGAACACCAGUGGCGAAGGCGACUACCUGGACUGAUACUGACACUGAGGUGCGAGAGCGUGGGGAGCAAAC
RNAcentral lists this ribosomal RNA (419 nucleotides) under uncultured bacterium. Its description in RNAcentral is "partial 16S ribosomal RNA". It matches the Rfam family "Bacterial small subunit ribosomal RNA", at positions 362 to 773 of the family's 1533-position model. The record is from RNAcentral.